Molecule: long non-coding RNA, 2293 nt
Organism: Glycine soja
Lineage: Eukaryota; Viridiplantae; Streptophyta; Magnoliopsida; Fabales; Fabaceae
Exons: 2
Source: RefSeq, a predicted model, not a curated record
CCCUGGUCAAUUUGCCCUUGCGUAUAAUUAAGAUUAAACUUCAGACAGCGUGGAAGUUCUCACAUUCUUUAUCAGAUUGGAUUUUAAAUCCAAUGGAGUGUAUUGGGACUUGUUAGAAGCUUUGGUGACUUAUAGAAGAAGAUAAAGUUAACGAGCAGAUUAAUAUAUCAACAACCAGCAGGGGAAUAUGCUCGAACAGAUGGUGGGCAGAUAAGUUUGGAGCUACUAUGUGCUUAUUGCUUAAUUUCCUUUUCUUGUCUCUUGCUAUAAUGGAAACCACUUUGCAUUCUCGUAAAAAAAAUGCAAUUAGGGAUUAAAUAGAGAUUCAUUCUUAACAGAAUGACCUCGGUGGUACGCGACGGGGGUCAGUGUAUGAAUACUGAAAUUUCAAAUAAUUAGUAAAAGGGCCUCGUGCAUGAGCUAAUAAUGCCAGGAAUACCCACAAGUGAAUCUCUGAUUGGGUUAAGCUCAACCAAUUCCAUAAAUUUUUUUGAGAGGACCAGUUCCAUAACUUGUUCAACAAACAUCUGCAUCACCAAACAAAAAUAGAACAAAAUCAAAAUUAAAAUUUACUUCAUUCAUAAUGGCCAAGUUUGUCCCCUCGCACCAUGCUGAAAAUAGUAGUGAUUCAUAUACAGUAACAUGUGGAGAAUGAAAAAAGAUUAUAAAUUAAUUAAUUAAUAAAUGAUAAUUUGGCUGGGACACAUGUCAACAUUGUAUGAAGUGAUAUGUGUAGUGGGUUCGGGAAAGAUUCAAUUUUUUUUGGAAUCUCCUCCUUCUUUCUCUCAUCCUUGAGCUUCCAAUUCACAAAUUGUUUUAAGAUCGAGCAUCGGAAGACUGUGUUCAUCUCCUCCUUCGUCAUUCUCAUUUUCUCCAAUUUCCUUAUAUACGUGUAAUCUGUGAAAAGCUAAAACUUCUCAACGUGGAUGACAUCAAGCAAGAGUCACUUGCUCUUCAAAAGAUGGUUGUAGACAAUGGUGGCCAUUCUCAGAAAAUAACAUACAGGAUAUGUCAAUCCAAGAUUUCUUGGUGAUGGAAUCUGGAAACAAUAUUGUGUCACCAACUGAGGAUUUCUCUCGUCAUACUCAUGAGCCAUAUGCGAAACUAUGUCCAGAAUCACUGCAUAUACCUUAUGAGUUUCGUUGUCCAAUUUCUCUAGUGAUAAUGAAAGAUCCUGUUAUCAUUUGCACAGGGCAGGGGAGCUCCGACUUCUCACCAAGAAAAAUGGUCAAAAUCGAAUGCUGAUUGCUGAAGCGGGUGCUAUCCCCUGCCUUGUUGAUCUCCUCUAUGCACUUGACACCCAAACAAGUGUGAGGUAAAGUCCCUCAUCGAGUAGAAGUGAAAAAGUUGAGCACCAUAUAAGUGAGGAAAAGACUCAUAAACUUGAGUCUUAAGAUUUUGGGUUAAAGUGUGGUGUCAAAUUUCUUUAAAAUUCCCCAACACCAAGAGCAUGUAGCUACUGUAUGGAAGCUUGUGAAAAUGCAGCAGCCACCUUUUUCAGCCUCUCUGGGGUGGAUGGGAACAGAAUUGCAAUUGGUGCAUCUGGAGCAAUCCCAGUAUUAGUUGCUCUAUUUUGGGAGGGAAGGUGGAUGCGGCAAAAGCACUAUUCAAUCUGUGUUUAUCUCAAGGGAACAAAGGACAGGCAAUUACAGCCGGUAUUGUGCCUAAGUUGAUAGAAAUGCUAACAGAACCUGAUGGGGAUAUGAGGGAUGAGGCAUUGGCAGUAAUGGCUGUAGUAGCUGCUGGCCAUUCUGAAGGACAAGCAACAAUUGGAUCUAUGAAUGUUGUAUCCACUUUGGUGGAAUUAGUCAGUAAUGGACCUCCUAGGAACAAAGAGAAUGCAACUUCAGUGUUGGUUAUCCUAUGAAAUGGAGACCCUUUUUAUUUGUCAAUUGUCAGUUCACUUGGUGUGGUCAAUCCUCUCUUGGACCUGGCAGGAAAUGGUUCAGAAAGGGCCAAGCGAAAAGCUUCACAGCUUUUUGAGUUGAUAGGAAACCAUUGAGAAUAUACUUGGAAAGCUGCCAGCUAGAUUUUAGGUGCAUCUGUUGCCAUUUUAAUUUACAGCAGAUGGCAUAGAUAGUGAUUGUAGAUGUGAUUUAUACAACAGGUUACUAUAGUAUAGGAUCCCCAAUAUUUCCUUUUCAUGUUUUAGUUUAAAGGAAAUUUCAAUUUUACUCUGCCAAUCAAUCAUUUUAGUUGAAAUGAAUCAAUUGUGCUGUAAAGCUUGUAGGAAGUGUUAAGGUGGCUGUUAAACACAUAGUUGAAAUACAGAUAUUUGUUGUUAUCAGAAGAA